Molecule: ribosomal RNA, 253 nt
Filed under: uncultured bacterium
Lineage: Bacteria
Description: partial 16S ribosomal RNA
Rfam family: Bacterial small subunit ribosomal RNA
Source: RNAcentral
GACAGAGGCCUCGAGCGUUAGGCGGAAUCACUGGGCUUAAAGCGUGUGUAGGCGGCGGCCUAAGUACCUUGUGAAAUCCCACGGCUCACCCGUGGAACUGCUCGGUAUACUGGGUCGCUUGAGCCACUUAGGGGCUACCGGAACAAAUGGUGGAGCGGUGAAAUGCGUAGAUAUCAUUUGGAACGCCAAUGGUGAAAACAGGUAGCUGGGAGUGUGCUGACGCUGAGACACGAAAGCCAGGGGAGCAAACGGG